GAUGGGACUGCAGAGCCAACUGUGUAGACAAAGGAGAAAAUAUCUUCUGUCUACAGAAGGCGACAGUCCUACAUAAACAUGAGAUCUCUGACCAC
Molecule: non-coding RNA, 95 nt
Organism: Arvicanthis niloticus (Nile rat)
Lineage: Eukaryota; Metazoa; Chordata; Mammalia; Rodentia; Muridae
Source: RefSeq, a predicted model, not a curated record